Molecule: long non-coding RNA, 2187 nt
Organism: Adelges cooleyi (spruce gall adelgid)
Lineage: Eukaryota; Metazoa; Arthropoda; Insecta; Hemiptera; Adelgidae
Exons: 7
Source: RefSeq, a predicted model, not a curated record
GUUCUAUAAAAUUGUCAACAAACGCCAGAAACACAUUAUAAACCAUUAAUAAUAAUUAUUAAUGUAAUUGACAUGUUGCCUCAGAAAAUAACAAUAAUUUUAUAACGAUUUAUAAGUGUCAAACUGUCCACCGGGAAAUGUCAAACGGAUGAAAAUUGUUCGGUUGCAACCCGUGUCGAAAAUUGGUCAACUUCAAAAAGAUUUAAUUAUCCAUCGCAUAAUUAUAUGAUCUCUUCAGCCCCAAAGAAAAGGUGCUGGAAAGAGACUCGGAGAUAAUGAGAUGAUCAACGAGGUUAAUGUUAAACACGGUAUUCCUAUGAUUGAUGAACGUUCAGUUGCAACAUAUGUCGAAAACAAAUUCAAACUUAACGAACCAAAUGGACGAGCCAACAAUUAAAAUUGAAGAAGGUGAGACCGUCGAUUAUUACUACAAGAUUAUAUUUGAAAUAGAAUAAUAAGCAAUUGAAGGAGCAACAAAAAACGAUCGACGGGAAUGCAUACAAUGUCUGAGAAUCUUGCAUUGAUAAAUAUGGAAAAGUUGAAGUUAAAAGCAAUGGUCUAUUGAAUUCGCAAAAACAACAAACUCCAAAAUACUUUUAGUGACAAUCGUUCGAGAAAUGAAGUGAAUAAAAAAACUGAUGGUCCUUAUUUUGAAUCGAGGAUUGAAACAGAAAAUAAUACAAAAACAGCAACAAACUCCAACAAUGAAGAUUUAACAAGCCGGCGGUUUUUUAAAUUGUUGAAGAAUCUUACAUUGAUACUAAAGUUAAAGGCUAAGUUCAAAAUAGUGGUUUUUUGUAUUUACAAGUAACAAACUACAAAAAUACUUUUAGUAACAAUCGUACGAGAAAUGAAGUGAAUAAAAAAACUGAUGGUCGUUAUUUUGAAUCGAGGAUUGAAACAGAAAAUAAUACAAAAUCAGCAACAAACUCCAACAAUGAAGAUAUAACAAGCCGGCGGUUUUUUCAAUGUAAAUUAUGUCAAAAAAUAUACCCUAAAAACAAAUAACUUUACGUAUAUUAAAAUCCCACCAAAUUUCAACGGAUAAACACUGUCCUCAAAAAUUCAGCACUAUACAUCGCAAUAAGUUUACUAAGACAUACGUGAACAUCAGCCGACCCUAUAAAUGUGACGUCUGCCUUAAGCACUUUUCUAAAAGUAUGAAUAGUCAUACAAGUUCAUAUACCUAAUUUAUAGUAGAAUUGCCUACUAAAAUGUGGCAACUAUUAUUGUGAUUGCUGUAUAAAUAAUUACUAUUUUUAUUCUUAUUACAUCAAAUAUUUAUUUUAAUUCUAGUACUAUUAUAUAUGAAAACAAUGUUAACUGUUGAUAUGUACUAUCAUUAUUUUUAUUAUAUUUAUUGAUAGGGUUUAAACUUUUGUAUGAUAAAAUAUGUGUUGUGUUGUCUUAUUUAUUACUUUAAGUUAUGUAAAUAGUUUAGAAAAUAAUGAAAGGUAUGUAAUAUGAAAGGUAACCCAUAACAAUCGGGUAACAUUGUAUUAUUAUGUCAACUUGGUUGUACUAAUUUAUUAUUUUUAUUGUGAAAAUUGGUUGUUGUUGCUAUAAGGUGAUUACCAAAAUUGAAUUAUAACUUUGUCAAAACAUUUUUUUUUUUUGAAUGUACAGUAAUAAAAAAAGCCAAGUUAAAGUAUAGUUAGCUGUUCAAUCAACAAUAUAAUUUUUUAAUAACCAUACAUUUUUCGGUGGCGAUUUCAUCACAAUGUUCAGUUAAUAAAAAAGCUAUGUUAAAAAUUAGUAACAACCAUAUUGAUAAUAUUUAAAACGAAGAAUAAUUAACCUUAUUACUAAUGAACACCGUAUUAAAUGUUUACAACAAUUUCAGUAUUAUAUGUAAUAAUCCUUUCACAUUUGAUGUACUUUUAACAAUUUGAUUCCUGGAUUAAAGCAGAAACUUCUCAUUAUAUUCUUUGCUGACUUUUCGGUAUUUCUAGCGUUUUUUCGAUUUGUUUUAAUAUAAUAACGGACUUAAGAUAUCCAUUAGCUAUGUUGGAACACUUUGUUUUUUCCUUUGUUAGGCUAGAAUAUCCAUAACAUAUUUUACAAUAACGUUAAGUGAUUAUAUCCGUAUUAACGCAUUCCCUACCAAUAACAUUGGAAAAAAAAUUCCUUUUAAAAAUUCUUCUCCCCUCGUUUCCUAUACUUUUAAAUCUUUGCACUUAUUUGUAA